This 433-nucleotide ribosomal RNA is filed under the name uncultured bacterium. Its description in RNAcentral is "partial 16S ribosomal RNA". It matches the Rfam family "Bacterial small subunit ribosomal RNA", at positions 29 to 507 of the family's 1533-position model. The record is from RNAcentral.
AACGAACGCUGGCGGCAUGCCUAACACAUGCAAGUCGAACGAAACCUUCGGGUCUAGUGGCGCACGGGUGCGUAACGCGUGGGAACCUACCCUUAGGUUCGGAAUAACUCACCGAAAGGGGUGCUAAUACCGGAUAAUGUCUUCGGACCAAGGAUUUAUCGCCUUUGGAUGGGCCCGCGUUGGAUUAGCUAGUUGGUAGGGUAAAAGCCUACCAAGGCGACGAUCCAUAGCUGGUCUGGGAGGAUGAUCAGCCACACUGGGACUGAGACACGGCCCAGACUCCUACGGGAGGCAGCAGUGGGGAAUAUUGGACAAUGGACGAAAGCCUGAUCCAGCAAUGCCGCGGGAGUGAUGAAGGCCUUAGGGUUGUAAAGCUCUUUUACCCGGGAUGAUAAUGACAGUACCGGGAGAAUAAGCUCCGGCUAACUCCGUG